UACGUAGGGGGCAAGCGUUAUCCGGAUUUACUGGGUGUAAAGGGAGCGUAGACGGCGAUGCAAGUCUGAAGUGAAAGGCGGGGGCCCAACCCCCGGACUGCUUUGGAAACUGUAUAGCUGGAGUGCAGGAGAGGUAAGUGGAAUUCCUAGUGUAGCGGUGAAAUGCGUAGAUAUUAGGAGGAACACCAGUGGCGAAGGCGGCUUACUGGACUGUAACUGACGUUGAGGCUCGAAAGCGUGGGGAGCAAACAGG
RNAcentral lists this ribosomal RNA (253 nucleotides) under uncultured bacterium. RNAcentral describes it as "partial 16S ribosomal RNA". It matches the Rfam family "Bacterial small subunit ribosomal RNA", at positions 524 to 776 of the family's 1533-position model. The record is from RNAcentral.